GUGCCCAGAUGGGAUUAGCUAGUUGGUGAGGUAACGGCUCACCAAGGCGACGAUCCCUAGCUGGUCUGAGAGGAUGACCAGCCACACUGGAACUGAGACACGGUCCAGACUCCUACGGGAGGCAGCAGUGGGGAAUAUUGCACAAUGGGCGCAAGCCUGAUGCAGCCAUGCCGCGUGUAUGAAGAAGGCCUUCGGGUUGUAAAGUACUUUCAGCGGGGAGGAAGGUGUUGUGGUUAAUAACCGCAGCAAUU
This 251-nucleotide ribosomal RNA is filed under the name Salmonella enterica subsp. enterica serovar Typhimurium. RNAcentral's name for it is "partial 16S ribosomal RNA". It matches the Rfam family "Bacterial small subunit ribosomal RNA", at positions 227 to 477 of the family's 1533-position model. Lineage: Bacteria; Pseudomonadati; Pseudomonadota; Gammaproteobacteria; Enterobacterales; Enterobacteriaceae. The record is from RNAcentral.